UACAGAGGGUGCAAACGUUGUUCGGAAUCACUGGGCGUAAAGGGCGCGUAGGCGGACUUGUAAGUCGGGAGUGAAAACUCGGGGCUCAACCCCGAGCCUGCUUCUGAAACUGCGAGUCUUGAGGACCGGAGAGGAAAGUGGAAUUCCUAGUGUAGCGGUGGAAUGCGUAGAUAUUAGGAAGAACACCAGUGGCGAAGGCGACUUUCUGGACGGGUCCUGACGCUGAGGCGCGAAAGCUAGGGGAGCAAACAGG
RNAcentral lists this ribosomal RNA (253 nucleotides) under uncultured bacterium. RNAcentral's name for it is "partial 16S ribosomal RNA". It matches the Rfam family "Bacterial small subunit ribosomal RNA", at positions 524 to 776 of the family's 1533-position model. The record is from RNAcentral.